RNAcentral lists this ribosomal RNA (356 nucleotides) under uncultured bacterium. Its description in RNAcentral is "bacterial SSU rRNA". It matches the Rfam family "Bacterial small subunit ribosomal RNA", at positions 954 to 1307 of the family's 1533-position model. The record is from RNAcentral.
GCAUAACGCGAAGAACCUUACCAGGCCUUGACAUGCAGAGAACUUUCCAGAGAUGGAUUGGUGCCUUCGGGAACUCUGACACAGGUGCUGCAUGGCUGUCGUCAGCUCGUGUCGUGAGAUGUUGGGUUAAGUCCCGUAACGAGCGCAACCUUGUCCUUAGUUACCAGCACGUAAUGGUGGGCACGUCUAAGGAGACUGCCGGUGACAAACCGGAGGAAGGUGGGGAGUGACGUCGAAGUCAUCAUGGCCCUUACGGCCUGGGCUACACACGUGCUACAAUGGUCGGUACAGAGGGUUGCCAAGCCGCGAGGUGGAGCUAAUCUCACAAAACCGAUCGUAGUCCGGAUCGCAGUCUG